ACCAGAAGAGGGGGGAACUCGCAACAGAGGCAGCAACAAGGGGUGCAGCGAGCAUGAAAAUGCUGGAAAAGGAACGGGCCACGACAUGGACGCGGUCGAGCAUGGCGUCGGCGAGGCCGCGGACGAGGGGGGUGGCGCCGGGGCCGGAGGUGCGGAGGAGGUGGGAGCGCGGCAGGUCAACAGUGGUGUAUGGAAGGACAACAGUGAGAGGAGGGGCAGUGGUGGUGGACUCGAAUAAAUUUUAAGAGUCUGUGGAUCAUUUGUUUAUUCAUUGUCCGGCAGCAUCUCGGUUGUGGCGCUUAUUUUUUCAACGUUUGGUGUUGUGUGGGUCCAGCAGAAGGGGGUGCUAGAGGUUCUCUUUAUCUGGGGAGGGGGUCUGGUUGGGAAGCAGCAUAAGAGGGCUUGGGGUUAGGCUUUGGCCCCUUUGUGCUUAAUGUGGUUGGUUUGGUUAGAGUGGAAUUGUUGUACCUUUCAGGAGGUUGCUCGUUCGUUGUCAUGGUUAGAGCACAAGUUGUUUGAGGUUCUGUAUAGUUGGGUGUCGGGAGGGUGAACCCGGAUUUGUGUGCUUUCAUGGAUUUUGUAGAUGAUUUGAUUUGUCAGGUGUUUUCCUUUUUUGGGGGCUCUUUCUUUUGUAUUUUUCAGCAUCUUCUUGACGCUCUUGGUAAUAAAUCUUAUUUGUCAAAAAAAAAAAAACUCUGAACAUGUUAUUUUCCUCUAGUAGUAUGUAUGGAGUUGUUCACUGGAGAAGGUGCUAGACUAUGAAAGAGUGGUUGGACUGAACUGCAUUCUAUAAUAGAAUUUCUAUUUACUAGCUUGCUUGCCCUGUCUUAUGAAGUUUUGAAUGCCUUACUUUCCUCAAAAUGUCCAGAUCGACUGUGAAUUUGAUCGUCUUAAUUUAAUGCCAAUUUGGUUUAGACUAUUGUGAUGAGCAUGACUGAUUGUUCGUACUCCAUGGGAUUCCCCUUUGGACCACUAGUUGAAAGGAAGUUUUAGAAGGCUCCCAAAAAGAAAAAAACAUCCUGCUCUCCAAAUUUGAUGUCUAAUAGAGAGAAAAUAAGGGUUUGUUGGGCUGAUAGUGGUAUCAGUUUUUGUUAUCUGUAUGCUUAACCUUAACCAACACCAAAACAAAAAAAAAACAAACAAACAAACAAAGCAACAGAAGAUUAAAAUGGCAAUUUCUAAAGUUGACAUUGAGGGGUAUGACUUGAUGUGUUGAAACUUCUUCAGUUUCAGUGAUAACAGCUUUAUCAUGCCCCAUCAGAGAAGACAUCAGGUCAUUUGCCCAAUGAAAAAAGGACAAACAAAAGAAGGGGACAAAAUUAUGUUGGUCUAUGAAUUUUAUUAUCAAAGAUUCCCAGUAUCUGGUUGUUCCAAGUUCCUACUGAAAAAAGGUACAUUUAAAAUUUAGAAAGUAUGCUUUUCUAAAUAAUGCCCCCAACGACGGGGAAAGGAAAACUUAUUGCAAAUAAUGACCCAGUGAGGGGAAAGGAAGACUUGCUGUAAAUGAUGACUGUGGAAUUAGCAUCAACUGACUCUGGAAUUCCAUGUCUUCUUUAUUGACACUACCAAGUCCAACGGAAGAAUCAUUGUGCUGCAAAGUGUUCAUUUAUAAAUGGAAUAAAUAACGGAAUAACAGAGGAAUUCCAUGAAUUGGACAUUAGCCCAUCAAUGGAAGUCCUCAAAAUACCUUUCUUGUUUUUGUUCAGUAUAUAGCGUCGUUUAGUGUUAAUCUUGUAAAGACAGAGCUGUUGUAUGGUUCAUAGAUAUAUAUCAAUCUAUUGUUGUUGAA
Molecule: non-coding RNA, 1789 nt
Organism: Camellia sinensis
Lineage: Eukaryota; Viridiplantae; Streptophyta; Magnoliopsida; Ericales; Theaceae
Source: RefSeq, a predicted model, not a curated record